This 689-nucleotide ribosomal RNA is filed under the name uncultured archaeon. Its description in RNAcentral is "bacterial SSU rRNA". It matches the Rfam family "Archaeal small subunit ribosomal RNA", at positions 142 to 814 of the family's 1478-position model. The record is from RNAcentral.
GGGGCUAAUUCUCGAUAGGUGAAGAACUCUGGAAUGAGUCUUUGCCAAAAAGACGUUUACGUUAUGCUCGUAGGCGUCGCCCAAGGAUGAGGCCGCGACCGAUCAGGUUGUUGGUGAGGUAAUGGCUCACCAAGCCUUUUACCGGUGCGGGCCGUGAGAGCGGGAGCCCGGAGAUGGGCACUGAGACAAGGGCCCAGGCCCUACGGGGCGCAGCAGUCGCGAAAACUUUGCAAUACACGAAAGUGUGACAGGGCUAUCCCGAGUGCCAUCCGCUGAGGAAGGCUUUUACCCAGUCUAGAACGCUGGGGGAAUAAGGAGAGGGCAAGUCUGGUGUCAGCCGCCGCGGUAAUACCAGCUCUCCGAGUGGUGUGGAUGUUUAUUGGGCCUAAAGCAUCCGUAGCUGGCUAGGUAAGUCCCUUGUUAAAUCCACCGAAUUAAUCGUUGGAUUGCGGGGGAUACUGCCUGGCUAGGGGACGAGAGAGGCAGACGGUAUUUCCGGGGUAGGGGUGAAAUCCUAUAAUCCCGGGAAGACCACCAGUGGCGAAGGCUGUCUGCUAGAACGCGCCCGACGGUGAGGGAUGAAAGCUGGGGGAGCGAACCGAAUUAGAUACCCGGGUAGUCCCAGCUGUAAACGAUGCAGACUAGGUGUUUGGACGGCCACGUGCCGUUCUAGUGCCGCAGGGAAGCUG